RNAcentral lists this long non-coding RNA (371 nucleotides) under Pan troglodytes (chimpanzee). RNAcentral describes it as "long non-coding RNA NONPTRT009280". Lineage: Eukaryota; Metazoa; Chordata; Mammalia; Primates; Hominidae. The record is from RNAcentral.
CAGGAUGGUCUUGAUCUCCUGACCUCAUGAUCCGCCCGCCUCGGCCUCCCAAAGUGCUGGGAUUACAAGCAUGAGCCACCACACCCGGCCCACUAAUCUACUUUAAUAUAAUUAACAUGUUCCUCUAGUCCUAGGGAAAAUGAGCCUGAUGACUUUACCAUUUUCCACCUCUAAGAGCCAAUCGCAAAGGAGGCUGGCUGGCAUCUUGUGUCUGUCUAGCAUCUCUACCAGUUUCUGUAGAAAACCCUCAAGCUGUGCCAAGACGAUCAUGUCUGGACACAGCUCUUGGUGUCACGGGGUGUCUCCUCCUACUGCCUAUCGCCCUUUGCAGCCACCAGAAUAAUCAUGCAGGGUGAAGCCUGAGGUGGAGA